This 465-nucleotide ribosomal RNA is filed under the name uncultured bacterium. RNAcentral's name for it is "bacterial SSU rRNA". It matches the Rfam family "Bacterial small subunit ribosomal RNA", at positions 330 to 792 of the family's 1533-position model. The record is from RNAcentral.
UCCAGACUCCUACGGGAGGCAGCAGUGAGGAAUAUUGGUCAAUGGGCGGGAGCCUGAACCAGCCAAGCCGCGUGAGGGAAGAAGGUACAGCGUAUCGUAAACCUCUUUUGUCAGGGAACAAAGGCGGGGACUAGUCCCCGGAUGAGGGUACCUGAAGAAAAAGCAUCGGCUAACUCCGUGCCAGCAGCCGCGGUAAUACGUAGGGAGCAAGCGUUGUCCGGAAUUACUGGGCGUAAAGGGCGCGUAGGUGGGCGCUUAAGUCAGGUGUGAAAACUCCGGGCUCAACCUGGAGACUGCACUUGAAACUGGGUGUCUUGAGGGCAGGAGAGGAAAGUGGAAUUCCUAGUGUAGCGGUGAAAUGCGUAGAUAUUAGGAGGAACACCAGUGGCGAAGGCGACUUUCUGGACUGUACCUGACGCUGAGGCGCGAAAGCGUGGGUAGCGAACGGGAUUAGAUACCCUCGUA